This 447-nucleotide ribosomal RNA is filed under the name uncultured bacterium. RNAcentral describes it as "partial 16S ribosomal RNA". It matches the Rfam family "Bacterial small subunit ribosomal RNA", at positions 29 to 523 of the family's 1533-position model. The record is from RNAcentral.
AGCGAACGCUGGCGGCAGGCUUAACACAUGCAAGUCGAACGCCCCGCAAGGGGAGUGGCAGACGGGUGAGUAACACGUGGGAACGUACCCUUUGGUACGGAAUAACUUGGGGAAACUCAAGCUAAUACCGGAUAAGCCCUUAUGGGGAAAGGUUUACUGCCGAAGGAUCGGCCCGCGUCUGAUUAGCUAGUUGGUGAGGUAAUGGCUCACCAAGGCGACGAUCAGUAGCUGGUCUGAGAGGAUGAUCAGCCACACUGGGACUGAGACACGGCCCAGACUCAUACGGGAGGCAGCAGUGGGGAAUAUUGGACAAUGGGGGCAACCCUGAUCCAGCCAUGCCGCGUGAGUGAUGAAGGCCUUAGGGUUGUAAAGCUCUUUUACCCGGGACGAUAAUGACUGUACCGGGAGAAUAAGCCCCGGCUAACUUCGUGCCAGCCGCCGCGGUAA